Molecule: ribosomal RNA, 495 nt
Filed under: uncultured bacterium
Lineage: Bacteria
Description: partial 16S ribosomal RNA
Rfam family: Bacterial small subunit ribosomal RNA
Source: RNAcentral
GACGAACGCUGGCGGCGUGCCUAAUACAUGCAAGUAGAACGCUGAAGGAGGAGCUUGCUUCUCUGGAUGAGUUGCGAACGGGUGAGUAACGCGUAGGUAACCUGCCUGGUAGCGGGGGAUAACUAUUGGAAACGAUAGCUAAUACCGCAUAAGAGUAGAUGUUGCAUGACAUUUGCUUAAAAGGUGCAAUUGCAUCACUACCAGAUGGACCUGCGUUGUAUUAGCUAGUUGGUGAGGUAACGGCUCACCAAGGCGACGAUACAUAGCCGACCUGAGAGGGUGAUCGGCCACACUGGGACUGAGACACGGCCCAGACUCCUACGGGAGGCAGCAGUAGGGAAUCUUCGGCAAUGGACGGAAGUCUGACCGAGCAACGCCGCGUGAGUGAAGAAGGUUUUCGGAUCGUAAAGCUCUGUUGUAAGAGAAGAACGAGUGUGAGAGUGGAAAGCUCACACUGUGACGGUAUCUUACCAGAAAGGGACGGCUAACUACGUG